This 253-nucleotide ribosomal RNA is filed under the name uncultured bacterium. RNAcentral's name for it is "partial 16S ribosomal RNA". It matches the Rfam family "Bacterial small subunit ribosomal RNA", at positions 524 to 776 of the family's 1533-position model. The record is from RNAcentral.
UACGUAGGGUGCAAGCGUUGUCCGGAAUUAUUGGGCGUAAAGAGCUCGUAGGCGGUCUGUCACGUCGGCUGUGAAAUCCCGAGGCUCAACCUCGGGUCUGCAGUCGAUACGGGCAAGCUAGAGUAUUGCAGGGGAGACUGGAAUUCCUGGUGUAGCGGUGAAAUGCGCAGAUAUCAGGAGGAACACCGGUGGCGAAGGCGGGUCUCUGGGCAAUAACUGACGCUGAGGAGCGAAAGCGUGGGGAGCGAACAGG